AUUGGGUGAAUAUGGAGGAAAGA
RNAcentral lists this non-coding RNA (23 nucleotides) under Rattus norvegicus (Norway rat). The record is from RNAcentral. Lineage: Eukaryota; Metazoa; Chordata; Mammalia; Rodentia; Muridae.